GGGAUUAUAAUUUAAUGGUAGAAUGUUAACUUUGCAAGUUAAUAAUUCGAGUUCAAUUCUCGAUGAUUCCA
This 71-nucleotide transfer RNA is filed under the name Starmerella bacillaris. RNAcentral describes it as "tRNA-Ala". It matches the Rfam family "tRNA". From Rfam's summary of the family: Transfer RNA (tRNA) molecules are approximately 80 nucleotides in length. Lineage: Eukaryota; Fungi; Ascomycota; Dipodascomycetes; Dipodascales; Trichomonascaceae. The record is from RNAcentral.